RNAcentral lists this small RNA (4631 nucleotides) under Rattus norvegicus (Norway rat). RNAcentral describes it as "uncharacterized LOC102547888". Lineage: Eukaryota; Metazoa; Chordata; Mammalia; Rodentia; Muridae. The record is from RNAcentral.
ACUACCCCGACCGCCCUAAAGCAUCACUGAGACCCACAAGUUGUGACUGGUCACCCAGCUCUGGGGAAUGUCCCCAUAAUAGAACUGCAGAUGUGCACAGACCAUGCCUGGCUCUGUUAUCUGGGUGCUGGGAAUCCUAAGACAGAACUUCAUGCUUGUACAGGAAGCAGAGGCAUGAAGCUAUGCUGUCCAUGAUCUCUACACCACACAGUCAGCCCCAAGUGUUGAGCAAAGAGACCUGAACCUUCCCAUGCCUUUGAUGUUCAAGGUUCCUACAGGCAUGAUCAUCCAUACUACUGAAGGGGCCAUGAGAGCAGUUCGUCCAUGCAAGCCCUACUGGACACAGGCAUCUCCACCCUGAAGACAGAAACUAAAAGACCUUCUUUCAAACUGAACUGGCCCUGGGCCAUGACUUUGAACCUGAUGCUGAGAUGACCCUGGGUGCUCAACCCACCUCAUGGAUGCUGAGAUGACCCUGGGUGCUAGACUUCUGUGAACCUAGUGGUGAGUGGCAAUGACACUGGAGUGUAUUAGAUAAAAGGAAGCUAGCUUUAGCACUAGAAACAACCUGUACUACAAGCAGACUCAAUGUAGCCCGGUCCUUUGUGCACAGAAUGUGUGAUACUAACCUCCUCUGAAUGGGCAGAAAAGUAAGGUCACUAAAUUUUUUACUCCCAGCUACUAAACAGUCCCAACUCUACAGGAUGUGAUAAUAUGCAAUAGGACACUUCAGAGCAGGCAGUGACACCUUUGAAACAACUACCAAAUAAAUACCCAAGAAAGUCCACUUUAAAUGGAAGCCCUGGGGUUAUCCUUUGCCCUAGAAGACCUGAAGUAUCAAUACCAGACAGCAGUGUCAAAGCAACUUCUCUUCUGCGGAGUGUGGUUGAGCAUUCCAUCUCAUUCUAUAGCUGAAGAGGGCCUGUGUGCUCUGUCAGGUAGAUGAAAACAUGCUCAUAAGACUCAAACACAAGAUGAGGUGUGAUAAUGUUCACAAAUGGCAAACUCUUCGAUAUAUACCAAUAAGACAUCAUGAAUAAGAAAUAGAAAUUGGAAUCAAAAGAAAUUCAGGUAAGCCACCAGCAUUCUCCUACGUGCUGUGUGGAUAAAUUAAACUAAGCACAAAUAUACUGACUGCACAUUGGCUAUUCAUGUGAGUUUCAUGAUCAACACAUGUUUUGAAUAUGCAAAGUCAUCUAGAGAAUAUUUAUUGGCUAUCCCCAUUGAUUAAGAUACUUCUAGUACUUGGGACAGAAACCAUUCGGUGAGCUUCUUGUCUCAGGACAGCUACACACAGGAUGGGUUAGCUAGGGAAGUUCAGGGAGUCUCCUGCAGGAGAACCCAUGCACUUGACCUUGAGGGAAUGGAUAGGUCAGGGAGAAAGGUGCGUAAGGGACUGUCUCUGACUCUUCUAGUGGCCAAUGUGAGUACACCCUACUAUCUAUCAGCAGAAUGAAACAGGCCCCCACCUGCAUCAACCACUGCAUGCAUCCAAAGCCUGAGAGAUGACCACAUCAUUAUGAAUUAGGCCUAGGAUACCCCUCCUUCCUCUGAACCUUGGAUUAUGGUCCAUAGUUCUCCCAUAAUUCUCUUCUCUGCCCUUGUCCAACUUAUGGUGGGUCUUUAAUCUCCCUUUCCUGGGGUUAAGUCACACUAGAAGAAGAGCCAUGAGUGACUUGUUCUCUGAUUCACUAGGGUAACUUUUGUUCCUAUUCUAUAUUCCCAUGGAGUAAUAGGAGAUGUGUUUACUUUGUUUUCUCUUGUAACAGGAUACCACUGAGUUGGUAAUCAAUGAACCAUAGAAAUGUAUCAAACUCACAGUGCUAAAGAUCAGGAGUGUGGUGACAGCACUUGGAAAGCGCCUUUAUGCUUCAUCAAAGAGAAUAGAAAAGAAAGUGAGCAUGGUCCAGACCCAGACAGAGGACAUGGGCUAACCUUUUCUUGUUAUCAAGAACCCCUUCCACCGCUGACCUAUGUCCUUCAUCUAUUUGUAAAUGCAGAACUUAAACGCAUUAUAAAGGUUCUGCCUCUUAGCAAUGGUUCAAUGGCAAGUCAACUUCAACACAAAUUAAGGAGGAGCAUCGACCACAGAAAGAGUGUAGACGCUAAGUACAACACCCCCAUGCAAGCCUUCUUCAGAUCAUAAAGAACAGAAGGCAGGUCAAACUUUCAUUCCUAUGUAACCCCUCAGACCCUGGCUCAGAACAAAUAUCUGAGAGUCAGUAUGGGAAGAGUAACAACAAAGACCCAGGCAGUCUUGUUUACUGACUGGGAAGGUAUUUCCUUGGCUUAUAAACAAGAUGUCUAAGAUGAGACGUUUAAGAUGUUUAUUUAGGUCCUUGAGCAAAUUUGAAAGUCAGGUUACUUUGUUUAAAGUGACUGCCAAUGGAACUUUCAAUCCUCUUGUCUUUGGUUUUUUGGAAGGUGGUGAAGUUUAUAGAUAUGGUGUGACUUUGAGAUGUUACUUAGCAUAAGGCUGGGUCAGGUUCUUGAGACUUUACCUGAGAGGGGUUAUACCACCCGAGUGUCACAUUUAUCCAACAUUACCUGUCUUCUGCAGUCCUCUUUCCAAACACUUCCUGCUGCUUUGUGAAUUGAGGGCAGAGACUUUCUCUCUGAACUAACACAACAGCCACCAUCUGCAUGAGAACAUUCUGGACUUGAAAUGUGUGGUCCAAGUUGAAAUGAGCUACAAGAGCAAAUAAACAGAGACUGCAAGACAUAGUAUAUACAGCAAGUAUACCAUAACUUGUUAACCUGACAUACUGGAGAAAGUGAAAUAAUAAAAUUAAUGUCAGCUAUUCUUACAUUUUAUUGUAUGUACUAGAAAAUUUUUACAUGAGACAUUUUGUUGGAACAAUGCUGGUUAGUAAUCAAAUAACUUUUCCAAACCAUGAUUUCAUUUAAAUUUAGAGAAAAGGAGAGCUCUAAGUUGGAAUGCAGCUGCCCGGAGUGUGUAGUAUUGAGGAAAACUUCCAUGCAUGAACAGAUUUAAAACCCAUGACCACCUAUAGAGAGGGGACUCUGGGUCUCCCCAGUAUACAAACAGACAUAGGACAUACAGAAAUGACAAGUCACCGUCGUUUUGGUAUGGCAAAGCUGGCAGUUAGCCCAGACCACAAGUCCUCAGUGUCUGAUUUUGUUAUGACUGGGACGUACCCUUGUGAACCUCUCAGAAUGUGGUUAGUAAUGGAGAUUCUCAUUUCAAAGGAAGUUUUAUCUUGGGUGACAUCUUUCUGGCUGACUUUGAAGCAACAGUGAGAAAACAUCCGAAUUCACUAUUAAUACAGCAUGAAUUCUAGAGCCAGCCAAGAUGGCUUCCUGAGGGUUGGCUUGGGGACCCGAUGAAGUUACUUUGCAAUGACUCUGGUGGGAAGUAUGAGUGACUGGGGACAUAGGGUGAUAAACCUUCCUAUCCAGCAAACCACAGUUAUACAGACACGGAGAGGAGACAGGGAAUAGCUGUCCAAUUGGGUUGUGGAAAAGCUCUGACAAUACGAGAAGGCUCUGCUGCAGAGGCUUGGCAUACAUUAAGGGCUUGAUAAACAUCUGCUCUUUCCUCUGGGCUUCCUUUGUUAAAAUCUUAAGUUAAAAGUUGCUAUUAAUGACUUAAAAGCACUGUAGGGCAAUGCACUCAGCACACCCAGGCACCAGCUACAUAGUGCAAUGCCCUCACAGUGACUUCAGAGAACCUUCUAGAGCUUUCCUCAAACAUAUCCAUGCUACAAAAGGUGUCGUUAUGUUGUUUUGUACACUAAAUCAAUGUUGUUAUGAUUUUAUUUUUCUCCCAAUUCCUGUGUACUGCUUUUUAGUUUAACAAAUUAAAAGACAUCUUGAGUAUACAUGACUUUCACUUACAGGUAGGUUGUGGCAUAUUACAGACAGAUAAAAUAUUUUUAAACAAUGCCUUAUCUUACCUAGGAGGUGAAUAGUAAGUUAGUGGGGUUUAUUAUCCAUUUUCCAGCCCCUCUACCCACAGUCUCGGAUGAUUUUCUAGAGUUGGUUUCCUUGGACUGUAUCCCUUGUUUUAAAUUCCAUUUUAUAAUAGCCCCUCUCUCCUGCUCUCUCUUAUUCUUUUCCUGUGUCCUUUCCCACAACGAUACAUAUGGAAUGGAGGAACAAAAGUGAGAAAAGACAGCAACACGCAGCUGCAGGAUGAGACCAGUGGAGCAAAGCUCAGCAAGGGUCACAAACAUCUACUGCUGCAGGGCCCUGUGUGCCUUUCCCAGGAGCUGUGCUUUUCCUCUGAGCGUCCCAGCAGGGAUGGCUUAACAAUUAAAAGAUCACAAUGCUCAUGAGAUUCAGUUUGAGAAGUAAACCCAGAAUCCUCUUCUGGGUGAGUGAAGGUUCCUAGCAGUGCCACCAAAGCACUGGAUCUCAUUUUUCUUUUUUAACAAACUAACUAACUAACUAAGUAAGUAACUAACUAACUAAAACAGUGUUGAAAAGAAAACUAACAUGAACUUGAACUUGAGCCUAGAACCCCCUUUCAUGAGAAUGGAGCCCAGGAGGUACAGAGCCUGCCUGAUGCCUGGGGCAAAACUCUUGGCUUUCUAGAGCAGUGGAAUCUGAGUCGGACUACAAGCACCUGUCUUUUGAAAGGAUGCCAGGCUGAAUGAAAAAAGGAAAGC